This 444-nucleotide ribosomal RNA is filed under the name uncultured bacterium. RNAcentral's name for it is "partial 16S ribosomal RNA". It matches the Rfam family "Bacterial small subunit ribosomal RNA", at positions 354 to 796 of the family's 1533-position model. The record is from RNAcentral.
GUGGGGAAUUUUGGACAAUGGGCGCAAGCCUGAUCCAGCAAUGCCGCGUGUGUGAAGAAGGCCUUCGGGUUGUAAACUGCUUUUAACCGGGAAGAAACCCCAGGACGUGUCCUGGGUUGACGGUACCGGAGGAAUAAGCACCGGCUAACUUCGUGCCAGCAGCCGCGGUAAUACGUAGGGUGCAAGCGUUAAUCGGAAUUACUGGGCGUAAAGCGUGCGCAGGCGGUUUUGUAAGACAGGCGUGAAAUCCCCGGGCUCAACCUGGGAAUUGCGCUUGUGACUGCAAGGCUGGAGUGCGGCAGAGGGGGAUGGAAUUCCGCGUGUAGCAGUGAAAUGCGUAGAUAUGCGGAGGAACACCGAUGGCGAAGGCAAUCCCCUGGGCCUGCACUGACGCUCAUGCACGAAAGCGUGGGGAGCAAACAGGAUUAGAUACCCCGGUAGUCC